AUUGAACGCUGGCGGCAGGCCUAACACAUGCAAGUCGAACGAGUGGCGGACGGGUGAGUAAUGUCUGGGAAACUGCCUGAUGGAGGGGGAUAAAUACUGGAAACGGUAGCUAAUACCGCAUACCAUCAGAUGUGCCCAGAUGGGAUUAGCUAGUUGGUGGGGUAACGGCUCACCAAGGCGACGAUCACUAGCUGGUCUGAGAGGAUGAACUGCAACACUGGAACUGAGACCCGGGCCAGACUCCUACGGGAGGAAGCAGUGGGGAAUAUUGCACAAUGGGGUCAAUCCUGAUGCAGCCAUGCCGCGUGUAUGAAGAAGGCCUUCGGGUUGUAAAGUACUUUCAGCGGGGAGGCGUUACCCGCAGAAGAAGCACCGGCUAACUCCGUGCCAGCAGCCGCGGUAAUUC
This 406-nucleotide ribosomal RNA is filed under the name uncultured bacterium. RNAcentral describes it as "partial 16S ribosomal RNA". It matches the Rfam family "Bacterial small subunit ribosomal RNA", at positions 30 to 526 of the family's 1533-position model. The record is from RNAcentral.